This 2388-nucleotide ribosomal RNA is filed under the name human gut metagenome. Its description in RNAcentral is "bacterial LSU rRNA". It matches the Rfam family "Bacterial large subunit ribosomal RNA", at positions 14 to 2423 of the family's 2925-position model. The record is from RNAcentral.
AGGGCGUAUGGGGAAUGCCUAGGCACACUCCGGCGAAGAAGGACGCAGCAAACAGCGAAAUGCGACGGUGAGCGGUAAGCACGUGAAGAGCCGUCGAUAUCCGAAUGGGGGAACCCACACGGAGUCAUAUCCGUGUAUCACAUGUCGAAUACAUAGACAUGAUGAGGCGAGACGCAGGGAACUGAAACAUCUAAGUACCUGCAGGAAGAGAAAAUAAGAAUGAUUUUCUGAGUAGCGGCGAGCGAAAGGGAAAGAGCCCAAACCGAUCUGAGGAUCGGGGUAGUAGGAUCAUCGAUAAAUCAAACAGAGGAUCAUAGAGGAAUCACAUGGGAAGGUGAGCGAGAGAGGGUGAGAGCCCCGUACUCGAAAUGAGAGACUGGAGAGAGAUGACACCUGAGUAGGGCGGGACACGAGAAAUCCUGUCUGAAUCAGCCGGGACCAUCCGGCAAGGCUAAAUACGAGAGAGUGACCGAUAGUGAACCAGUACCGUGAGGGAAAGGUGAAAAGAACCCCGGGAGGGGAGUGAAAGAGAACCUGAAACCAUAUGCCUACAAGAAGUCAGAGCCCGUUAAAGGGUGAUGGCGUGCCUUUUGUAGAAUGAACCGGCGAGUUACUGUAUGGAGCGAGGUUAAGCAGGAUAUGCGGAGCCGAAGCGAAAGCGAGUCUUAAGAGGGCGCGAGUUGCAUGCAGUAGACCCGAAACCGGGUGAUCUAGCCAUGACCAGGUUGAAGUUGGGGUAAAACCCGAUGGAGGACCGAACCGACCCCCGUUGAAACGUUGGCGGAUGAGUUGUGGCUAGGGGUGAAAUUCCAAUCGAACCCGGAGAUAGCUGGUUCUCCCCGAAAUAGCUUUAGGGCUAGCGUCGAGAGAAGAGUUGCGUGAAGGUAGAGCACUGAAUAUGUGAUGGCCCCAUCUCGGGGUACUGAGCAUAAUCAAACUGCGAAUGUCACGCCAACAUGCUCGGCAGUCAGACAGCGGGUGAUAAGGUCCGUUGUCAAGAGGGAAACAGCCCAGACCAUCAGCUAAGGUCCCAAAAUGUAUGCUAAGUGGAAAAGGAUGUGGAGAUGUACAGACAACUAGGAGGUUGGCUCAGAAGCAGCCAUCCUUUAAAGAGUGCGUAACAGCUCACUAGUCGAAUGACUCUGCGCCGAUAAUUUACCGGGGCUAAGCAUACUACCGAAGCUAUGGAUCCCAAGGGAUGGUAGGGGAGCGUUCCAUGAACGGAGAAGUACGACCGAAAGGACGUGUGGAGAUCAUGGAAGAGAGAAUGCCGGUGUGAGUAGCGGAACGUGGGUGAGAAUCCCACGCACCGAAAACCCAAGGUUUCCAGAGGAAGGUUCGUCCGCUCUGGGUAAGUCGGGACCUAAGGCGAGGCCGAAAGGCGUAGUCGAUGGACAACAGGUAGAGAUUCCUGUACCCGUAUAUAUGUGAAGGAAUGACGGAGAGAGGAAGCUGCAGCCAGCGGCUGGAAGAGCUGGUGCAAGCGAGAUAUCGGGAUGGCAGGCAAAUCCACCAUCCGAAACGAGAAGGCGUGAAGCGUACGGAAAGCUACGGCGAGUACGGAAGGCAGUGGAGGAACUUCCAAGAAAAGUUUCUAACGUUAAGUAUAUAUGGCCCGUACCGAAAAUGGACACACAUGGGUGAGGAGAGAAUCCUAAGGUGAGCGAGAGAACUAUAGCUAAGGAACUCUGCAAAAUGACUCCGUAACUUAGGGAGAAGGAGUGCUCAUAGAGAUAUGAGCCGCAGUGAAACGGCCCAAGCGACUGUUUACCAAAAACACAGCUCUCUGCUAAGCCGCAAGGCGAAGUAUAGGGGGUGACGCCUGCCCGGUGCUGGAAGGUUAAGGGGAGGGGUUAACGCAAGUGAAGCCCUGAACUGAAGCCCCAGUAAACGGCGGCCGUAACUAUAACGGUCCUAAGGUAGCGAAAUUCCUUGUCAGGUAAGUUCUGACCCGCACGAAAGGCGUAACGAUUUGGGCGCUGUCUCAGCUGUAGACUCGGUGAAGUCUUAGUACCUGUGAAGAUGCAGGUUACCCGCGACUAGACGGAAAGACCCCAUGGAGCUUCACUGCAGGUUGAUAUUGGGAUUUGAUGCAGCAUGUACAGGAUAGGUAGGAGGCAAAGAGAUGGAUACGCCAGUAUUCAAGGAGCCGCUGUUGGGAUACUACCCCUGUUGUAUUGGAUUUCUAACCGGACGACGUAGAGCCGUUGACGGGACAGUGUCAGUCGGGCAGUUUGACUGGGGCGGUCGCCUCCCAAAGAGUAACGGAGGCGCCCAAAGAUACCCUCAGCUUGGAUGGAAACCAAGCGCAGAGUGCAAAGGCAAAAGGGUGUUUGACUGCGAGACCUACAAGUCGAGCAGGGACGAAAGUCGGGCUUAGUGAUCCGG